AGCGAACGCUGGCGGCAGGCUUAACACAUGCAAGUCGAACGGGCAUAGCAAUAUGUCAGUGGCAGACGGGUGAGUAACGCGUGGGAACGUACCUUUUGGUUCGGAACAACACAGGGAAACUUGUGCUAAUACCGGAUAAGCCCUUACGGGGAAAGAUUUAUCGCCGCAAGAUCGGCCCGCGUCUGAUUAGCUAGUUGGUAGGGUAAUGGCCUACCAAGGCGACGAUCAGUAGCUGGUCUGAGAGGAUGAUCAGCCACAUUGGGACUGAGACACGGCCCAAACUCCUACGGGAGGCAGCAGUGGGGAAUAUUGGACAAUGGGCGAAAGCCUGAUCCAGCCAGGCCGCGUGAGUGAUGAAGGCCCUAGGGUUGUAAAGCUCUUUUGUGCGGGAAGAUAAUGACGGUACCGCAAGAAUAAGCCCCGGCUAACUUCGUG
RNAcentral lists this ribosomal RNA (435 nucleotides) under uncultured bacterium. Its description in RNAcentral is "partial 16S ribosomal RNA". It matches the Rfam family "Bacterial small subunit ribosomal RNA", at positions 29 to 507 of the family's 1533-position model. The record is from RNAcentral.